RNAcentral lists this long non-coding RNA (712 nucleotides) under Solanum tuberosum (potato). RNAcentral's name for it is "long non-coding RNA (STUB_LNC004473)". Lineage: Eukaryota; Viridiplantae; Streptophyta; Magnoliopsida; Solanales; Solanaceae. The record is from RNAcentral.
UACAUAUGACAUUAUUAUGCAUAUUUGAUAUAGGCUUUGAGACAAUAUAUUCAAAAGAGCACGAAAUCUUUUCUUCAAAAAAUUGAUGAAUGUACAAUAAUGUAGUUGUCUAAACAAUGAAACUUACUCAUGGCAUCUCUAUGAAAAACUUGCAUAAUUAUGCUUUCUAAACUCAUUUAGCACACUUCUAUGGUGACACUAGAGAUAAUGAUUGAUCUUCUAAUUUAGGAAUAACUUCACCAAAUAAGAGGAAUCCUGUAAUUGCCAUACAAACAUCUAAUGUAACAAAAUAUUGUGAAAAUUUAUGAUUACUAUCGAGAUAAAUUCUCAACUCCUACUUAUACGUGAAUCCCUAGUUUUCCCCCACAAAUUUUCUCAUCAAGCAUCUCAAUUUGUUCUUUGUCUCAUGGAUGACUUUGUAGUCCACAUUAGUUAGUCCACUUGCCAAGCACAUUCUAUCAACAACAAAAAAAAAAACUUCAACAUACAUAAUUUCAUAAUACAUUAUGAGAAUUAAGGUGAUCAAGAAGUCAAAUAAGAGAUUGAACAUACCAAAGAAAAUUUAAUUAGUGUCAUAUGAGUUUCAUAUGUGAAAAGUGAAAAAUUAUAAAUCAAUUCACCUUUUGUCUUGAAAUAAAUCACAUUCCACAUUCUUCAAAUCUUAUUCCUUAUCAUCAAAUCAUGUCUAUUAUAAUGACCAACUCUGAAAAAA